Molecule: unclassified non-coding RNA, 510 nt
Filed under: Cyperus kersteinii
Lineage: Eukaryota; Viridiplantae; Streptophyta; Magnoliopsida; Poales; Cyperaceae
Description: partial external transcribed spacer 1f
Source: RNAcentral
UNUAGGACAUGCCUUGCAUGGCAGGCUCCCCGCACGUACGUGCGGCCAACUGUCAUGGGGCUGUCUUNUCAGUGUCCCUUCGUUUAUCCGUUUUGGUCGCUUGGGGUGCCUCGGAUUUGGUUGCCUGUGCGGUCUUACCGUAGUCGGUAGCACAAUUGUCCCGCUGUUGCGUAAUGCGCUCGCUCCGUCGAUGCAUGGGCAUCGAUGGGGGGCCGAGGUGUUGGCAAAUUCCGUGCGCCGCGAUGCACUUUGUGUGUCUGAGAGUCCCGACUUAUCGGAUGAUUGCCGGGUCUCACGGAUAUCAGUCCCUACGUUGAGCGGUCUGCGGCCGUSNNGNNCGCAGCCUCAUGNUGUUGCCCACGCGCAUGAAUUUGUNGCCGANGUUUCCUNGACGUGUUGUGUUCCUCCGGGACUCGUGUUGAGGAAACAUCGGCGACAAAUUUGUGUGCGSGCGCAUAUCCUCACCGACCCGAAUGAUACGCGAUUGCCNGUCCGCAUNGUCNCNGGGNG